GACGAACGCUGGCGGCGUGCUUAACACAUGCCAGUCGAACGGAAAGGCCCUGCUUUUGUGGGGUGCUCGAGUGGCGAACGGGUGAGUAACACGUGAGUAACCUGCCCUUGACUUUGGGAUAACUUCAGGAAACUGAGGCUAAUACCGGAUAGGAGCUCCUGCUGCAUGGUGGGGGUUGGAAAGUUUCGGCGGUUGGGGAUGGACUCGCGGCUUAUCAGCUUGUUGGUGGGGUAGUGGCUUACCAAGGCUUUGACGGGUAGCCGGCCUGAGAGGGUGACCGGCCACAUUGGGACUGAGAUACGGCCCAGACUCCUACGGGAGGCAGCAGUGGGGAAUAUUGCACAAUGGGCGGAAGCCUGAUGCAGCAACGCCGCGUGCGGGAUGACGGCCUUCGGGUUGUAAACCGCUUUCGCCUGUGACGAGGCGUGAGUGACGGUAAUGGGUAAAGAAGCACCGGCUAACUACGUG
RNAcentral lists this ribosomal RNA (468 nucleotides) under uncultured bacterium. RNAcentral's name for it is "partial 16S ribosomal RNA". It matches the Rfam family "Bacterial small subunit ribosomal RNA", at positions 28 to 507 of the family's 1533-position model. The record is from RNAcentral.